This 213-nucleotide long non-coding RNA is filed under the name Solanum tuberosum (potato). RNAcentral's name for it is "long non-coding RNA (STUB_LNC002373)". The record is from RNAcentral. Lineage: Eukaryota; Viridiplantae; Streptophyta; Magnoliopsida; Solanales; Solanaceae.
UUUAUUAUGUUUGUGCAGUUUAUAUGUCAUAGGACUGAAUAGUAAGAGCUACAACUCUGAAGCAGUAUAGUUUGUUUGGUUAUUUUGGGUUUAGGUGCUUUGUUUGUAUGAGAUUGUCAAUCUCCUACUUUGACAUUGUGAAAUUGUACAGGUCUAUGUCAUGAUUGAGAAAGAACUAAUAGCAAAUAAAUGGUUACGACAUGAAGAUGGAAG